Molecule: unclassified non-coding RNA, 253 nt
Filed under: uncultured Caryophanales bacterium
Lineage: Bacteria; Bacillati; Bacillota; Bacilli; Caryophanales
Description: uncultured Bacillales bacterium contains 16S-23S intergenic spacer region
Rfam family: Bacterial small subunit ribosomal RNA
Source: RNAcentral
UACGUGGGAUGCGAGCGUUGUCCGGAAUUAUUGGGCGUAAAGCGCGCGCAGGCGGCCUCUUAAGUCUGAUGUGAAAGCCCCCGGCUCAACCGGGGAGGGCCAUUGGAAACUGGGAGGCUUGAGUAUAGGAGAGAAGAGUGGAAUUCCACGUGUAGCGGUGAAAUGCGUAGAGAUGUGGAGGAACACCAGUGGCGAAGGCCACUCUUUGGCCUAUAACUGACGCUGAGGUACGAAAGCAUGGGGAGCAAACAGG